This 692-nucleotide ribosomal RNA is filed under the name Alpova cinnamomeus. Its description in RNAcentral is "eukaryotic LSU rRNA". The stretch from base 188 to 342 matches the Rfam family "5.8S ribosomal RNA". Lineage: Eukaryota; Fungi; Basidiomycota; Agaricomycetes; Boletales; Melanogastraceae. The record is from RNAcentral.
CGUCUCGAAGUCUUGCUUUCUCGAUCUCUUUCCUUUCGUGAACCCCCUUUUCUUACACCUGUGCACCCAUUGUAGGUCCCGCGAGGGAUCUAUGUCUCUAUCUACUCUUAAAUGUAUGGCCUAGAAUGUCUUGAAACGUCGUCCGGCCUGGCUAACGCUUGGUUGGCGGCAGUAAAGAACCUUAUACAACUUUCAGCAACGGAUCUCUUGGCUCUCGCAUCGAUGAAGAACGCAGCGAAUUGCGAUACGUAAUGUGAAUUGCAGAUUUUCAGUGAAUCAUCGAAUCUUUGAACGCACCUUGCGCUCCUUGGUAUUCCGAGGAGCAUGCCUGUUUGAGUGUCAUUAAAUUCUCAACCAUCCUUUGAUUCAUUUCGAGGGUUGGCUUGGAUCUUGGGAGCUGCCGGCGACUCACNGGGGUCUUGUCGGCUCUCCUUAAAAGUAUUAGCGAACGGGUGUGACGAGCUUUCGUGCAUGAAACGGCCUUUGACGUGAUAAUGAUCGUCGUGGCUGGAGUGCUUUUUUGAAAGAGGCUUUGAUCGUCUUUUGCUUCCAAUCUUUGAUCGUANAUGGAAGGGCGGAACUCUGCUCCGGCGGACGGAAACUUUCCUUUUUACUUUCACUUUUUGACUUUUUGACCUCAAAUCAAGUAGGACUACCCGCUGAACUUAAGCCAUAUCCAAUAACCGGAGGAA